UACGUUCCCGGGCCUUGUACACACCGCCCGUCACACCACGAAAGCGAGUAACACCCGAAGCCGGUGGCCUAACCGCAAGGAGGGAGCCGUCGAAGGUGGGACCCGUGAUUGGGGUGAAGUCGUAACAAGGUACCC
Molecule: ribosomal RNA, 135 nt
Filed under: uncultured bacterium
Lineage: Bacteria
Description: partial 16S ribosomal RNA
Rfam family: Bacterial small subunit ribosomal RNA
Source: RNAcentral